This 86-nucleotide transfer RNA is filed under the name Synergistes jonesii. RNAcentral's name for it is "tRNA-Tyr(gta)". It matches the Rfam family "tRNA". Rfam says of the family: Transfer RNA (tRNA) molecules are approximately 80 nucleotides in length. Lineage: Bacteria; Thermotogati; Synergistota; Synergistia; Synergistales; Synergistaceae. The record is from RNAcentral.
GGUAGGGUGGCCGAGCGGUCAAAGGCAACAGACUGUAAAUCUGUCGGCGGAAGUCUACGUUGGUUCGAACCCAACUCCUACCACCA